AUGAGAUGCGGCAGUGCCAGGGGACAGUUGCUUCUGCUAUUUUUGGUUCCAAAACUAUUACUUCAUCGACUCUUUCCUGAUGUGCGGUAUUCACUCUGGAUCGAUGGGAAACUUAAACUUGUGAAGGAUCCUUAUCAGUUGUUAGAGAGAUUCUUGUGGAGGAAAAAUGUGCGCUUCGCUAUUUCCAGGCAUUAUAGACUCUUUGAUGUCCUUGAGGAAGCUGAGGCCAACAAGGCUGGUGGGAAGUAUGAUAAUGCUUCAAUCGAUAACCAAAUAGAGUUCUACAAGAGAGAGGGUUUAACCCAUUAUUCAUCAGCUAAGUUCCUUAUUACAAGCGAUGUCCCCGAGGGCUGUGUAAUUAUAGGAGAGCACAUACCCAUCACCAAUCUAUUCACAUGCCUUUGGUUCAAUGAAGUUGAUCGUUCCACCUCAAGAGAUCAGCUAAGCUUUAGCGCAGCGAGGGAUAAAAUAAGAUCAAGAGUUCUUUUUGACAACUAA
This 498-nucleotide ribosomal RNA is filed under the name Triticum aestivum (bread wheat). RNAcentral describes it as "partial small subunit ribosomal RNA". The record is from RNAcentral. Lineage: Eukaryota; Viridiplantae; Streptophyta; Magnoliopsida; Poales; Poaceae.